ACACAGACCACUCACCAUGGGGUUGGGGCUCAGCUGGGUUUUCCUUGUUGCUAUUUUAAGAGGUGUCCAGUGCGAGGUCCAGCUGGUGGAGUCUGGGGGAAGCUUGGUGCAGCCUGGGGGGUCUCUGAGACUCUCCUGUGCAGCCUCUGGAUUCACCUUCCGUAGCUACUGGAUGCACUGGGUCCACCAGGCUCCAGGGAAGGGGCUGCAGUGGGUCUCACACAUUAAUCCUGAUGGAAGUGGCUCAUACUAUGCAGACUUUGUGAAGGACCAAUUCACCACCUCCAGAGAAAAUGCUAAGAACAUGCUGUAUCUGCAAAUGAACAGCCUGAGAGCAGAAGAAAUGGCCUUGUAUUACUGUGCGAGAGAGACAGACACACAGUGA
Molecule: non-coding RNA, 385 nt
Organism: Myotis lucifugus (little brown bat)
Lineage: Eukaryota; Metazoa; Chordata; Mammalia; Chiroptera; Vespertilionidae
Source: the annotation of a RefSeq genome assembly